This 25-nucleotide non-coding RNA is filed under the name Mus musculus (house mouse). The record is from RNAcentral. Lineage: Eukaryota; Metazoa; Chordata; Mammalia; Rodentia; Muridae.
GAAGCAUCAUUGAUGGUUUGUGGAC